GAGUUUGAUCCUGGCUCAGAGUUAACGCUGGCGGCGUGCCUAACACAUGCAAGUCGAGCGAAGAGUGGCAGAGUAUCGCGCUCUUAGCGGCAGACGGGUGAGUAACACUUAAACAAUCUGCCCUCGAAUGGGAGACAACCAAGCGAAAGUUUGGCUAAUACCCCAUACAAUCCUCUCCAGGCAUCUGGAGGGGAUGAAAGGCCCGCAAGGGUCGUUCGAGGAGGAGUUUAAGUCCUAUCAGCUAGUUGGCGGUGUAACAGACCACCAAGGCUAUGACGGGUAGCCGAUCUAAAAGGAUGACCGGCCACAAGGGCACUGAGACACGGGCCCUACUCCUACGGGAGGCAGCAGUGGGGAAUUUUGCGCAAUGGGGGAAACCCUGACGCAGCAACGCCGCGUGAGUGAUGAAGGCUUUCGGGUCGUAAAGCUCUGUCAGAGGGGAAGAAAUGGGUCGUGUUAAUAUCACGACUUCUUGACGGUACCCUCAAAGGAAGCACCGGCUAACUCCGUGCCAGCAGCCGCGGUAAUACAAGGRCGAAUUGGAAACAUAUCGUCCCAYGAKUCSGGAUYCMCWGSCCGUCGUURUACARCCAAUGAAACAGCUAGAKCAYCG
This 613-nucleotide ribosomal RNA is filed under the name uncultured Geobacteraceae bacterium. Its description in RNAcentral is "bacterial SSU rRNA". The stretch from base 1 to 542 matches the Rfam family "Bacterial small subunit ribosomal RNA", at positions 9 to 546 of the family's 1533-position model. Lineage: Bacteria; Pseudomonadati; Thermodesulfobacteriota; Desulfuromonadia; Geobacterales; Geobacteraceae. The record is from RNAcentral.